CCUACGGGCGGCUGCAGUGGGGGAUAUUGCACAAUGGGGGAAACCCUGAUGCAGCGACGCCGCGUGAGCGAAGAAGGCCUUCGGGUCGUAAAGCUCUGUUUUGAGGGAAGAAAAAAAUGACGGUACCUCAGGAGAAAGCCCCGGCUAACUACGUGCCAGCAGCCGCGGUAAUACGUAGGGGGCAAGCGUUAUCCGGAAUUACUGGGCGUAAAGGGUGCGUAGGCGGCCAAUAAAGUCAGGGGUGAAAGGCUACGGCUCAACCGUAGUAAGCCUUUGAAACUUAUUGGCUUGAGUGCAGGAGAGGAGAGUGGAAUUCCUAGUGUAGCGGUGAAAUGCGUAGAUAUUAGGAGGAACACCAGUGGCGAAGGCGACUCUCUGGACUGUAACUGACGCUGAGGCACGAAAGCGUGGGGAGCAAACAGGAUUAGAUACCCCAGUAGUC
RNAcentral lists this ribosomal RNA (442 nucleotides) under uncultured Natronincola sp. Its description in RNAcentral is "bacterial SSU rRNA". It matches the Rfam family "Bacterial small subunit ribosomal RNA", at positions 338 to 795 of the family's 1533-position model. Lineage: Bacteria; Bacillati; Bacillota; Clostridia; Peptostreptococcales; Natronincolaceae. The record is from RNAcentral.